GACGAACGCUGGCGGCGUGCUUAACACAUGCAAGUCGAACGGAAAGGCCCUGCUUUUGUGGGGUGCUCGAGUGGCGAACGGGUGAGUAACACGUGAGUAACCUGCCCUUGACUUUGGGAUAACUUCAGGAAACUGGGGCUAAUACCGGAUAGGAGCUCCUGCUGCAUGGUGGGGGUUGGAAAGUUUCGGCGGUUGGGGAUGGACUCGCGGCUUAUCAGCUUGUUGGUGGGGUAGUGGCUUACCAAGGCUUUGACGGGUAGCCGGCCUGAGAGGGUGACCGGGCACAUUGGGACUGAGAUACGGCCCAGAAGCCAACGGGAGGCAGCAGUGGGGAAUAUGGCACAAUGGGCGGAAGCCUGAUGCAGCAACGCCGCGUGCGGGAUGACGGCCUUCGGGUUGUAAACCGCUUUCGCCGGUGACGAAGCGUGAGUGACGGUAAUGGGUAAAGAAGCACCGGCUAACUACGUG
RNAcentral lists this ribosomal RNA (468 nucleotides) under uncultured bacterium. RNAcentral describes it as "partial 16S ribosomal RNA". It matches the Rfam family "Bacterial small subunit ribosomal RNA", at positions 28 to 507 of the family's 1533-position model. The record is from RNAcentral.